AAAGCGAGAGGCUAGCUUCUCUUCACUGGGUGCACAUACCGUAUUUUAGCCAUCGCAUGUCCAAGGGUGCCGCUGUGCUGGUGCUGGACAUCACUCUCCCCCGCGCUGCGGCGCUGGCGGAGGCGUGUGACCUGUGCGACAGAAUCCUCGCGGACAAGAUGAUAUACGCGCCAUCGGACGAGGUGGCUGUCAUUCUUGCCGGCACUGAGAAGUCUCGCAGCGCUCUGUACGAACGGUCUGAGCAGGCGCGCUACAACCACAUCACUGUGGCUGCCGAUCUCGGACCGGCAACGACGCUGACCCUCGCACCCAUUGCUGCUACUCGCGCCGGUGUUGCUGUGCUGCCUGACGGCGCGACUGUGCGGCGAUCUAUCGCGGAGGCGUACGACUUCAUCGACGCCCUUCAGGUGGCGGUGGCGGUGCUGCAAGUGCGCACGAGCCAAAAGCGGUACAAUCGCUGCAUUUACUUCCUCACCGACGCCCGCCACGAGGUGCGGCACAAGGAGGAUCUGCUUUCCCUCAUCGGUGCCUUGCAGCGCGACCAGGUGGCGUUGGUGGUGAUCGGGUUUGAUUUUCAGGCACUGCCAGCACCCACGGAUUCACAGGGGAAGUUCAACGAAUUCACCGCAGGUGAAGCUAGUGCGUGGGCUGCGCUCGAUAGGAAGGCACAAAACGAGAUAAUACUCGCGGCGCUGUGCACCGAGCUGGGGUCGCCGAGCACACUCGUCAGCCCCGCAGAGGCGCUGGCGAGUCUCUCGUUGCCGCGCUGUCGAAGGAUCCGCCAGCAGCCCGUGCUCAAGGUUGCGCUUCGCAUUGGUGACGUGCGGCUUGCCACGCAGCUGUUCACUCUCACGCAGGAAGAGCGGCUGCCCUCGCUGCGGCGGAGCACCCAGGAAGGCGUAGACGUGGUGCAGACCAUCGAGUACGUCGCCGUCGGCGGCGUGGAAGAGCAGCCGUGUGCCUUGGCGAAGGAGGAGCGGGUGGAGGCGUUCUUCUUGGGCGCCGACCGCAUCUCAUGCAGCGAGGCCGAUCGAGAAACGAUGAGAGUAAAGGGCCCGCGCGCGCUGGAAGCGAUCGGGUUCGUUGGAGAGGCCGAGGUGGAGCCGUACCUGUUGAUGGGCGGCACACGCGCGCUGCUGCCACUGGCGGGCGACCAUGCCGGACAGCGCGGCUUCAACGCCUUGGUGGACGCGAUGGCAUCCAGUCGUAAGGCGAUGCUGGUGCGGCUCGUGCGCACGACAGAUGCUGCUCCGUCGUUAUGCGUAUGCUUUGCGCGGACGGCGGGGUCGUCUGCGGAGCAGCGCCACUUGGUGCUGGCUCCUCUCCCGUUUGCCGAGGACGUGCGAGCCCUUCGCUUCUCCGAGUACCCGGAGCUGCAGUUUAGUGCGGCCGAGGAGCAGUUGAUGGACGAGCUGAUCGACGGCCUCUCUGUGGAUGACUCGGUGCUGGCGCCUCACGACACCUUCAACCCGGUCCUGCAACAGUACUACGCCACUCUGCGAUCCAAGCUGUCCGCCAUGAAUGUCUCGGCGGAGAAGGGCAACGCGAAGGCGACCUCGUCCGAAGCAGCGGUACCACAACUGCUGCCCACGUUGAGGGGUACCUCCACCGACUUCUUCGCAGAGGGCAGCGCGGUGUAUGAGGCGGUAUCGGCGCACCGGGCCGCUCUUGCGUCUUGCGCAAGCGCGUUCCCGUACGAAGAUGAAGUGGACGCGCUCUUGCCAGGAAGCAGAGACGCGGGUUGGAAGGGAAAGCCAUGGUACCAAGAUGUGGCGACGACGUCAUCACUGAUAGACCCUCAGGCCGUAUCGCCGCCUUCAGCAUCCCAGGGAUCUGGUGGAGCCCCGUCCACAAUCGCCGCUGCCAUUGCUAGAGGCGUGAGGUGCGGCGGGGAGGCGGACGAAGCGUCUGCCGGCAGCCAUGCCACGUCGGAUGCGAACAGCAUCUCCACCGCUCCACACGACACCAUCAGCGGCGGUCUCUCCUUCGCGAUCACGUCCGUUGACCCAGUGGGUAGUUUCUCCAUGAUUGUGCACCACCCUGCAGUGACGGAGGCACAACUGAACAAGGCGAAGGACGACCUCAGCGAUGUCAUCUGGGAGCUCCUGCGCAGCAGCAUAAAGGACGCCAUCUACCGCAAGUGUAUGGCCUGCAUUAUGGCCCUCCGCCAGUUCUGCGUGAAGCAGGACGACGCCGCCUACUACAACGAUUUCCUGCUCAAAUUGGAGGUGGUUGCACGGCAGUGCGGCCGCGACACCGAUUUCUGGGCCCCAUACGUGGUGGAGCGGAAGGACAGCGCCAACGUGUGGCCUAUCACAGCACAGGAGUGCAAGUCUGCAGCCCUGCCCGACGAUACCGCCGCGAAGGCUUUCCUGCAGAAGGACCGCUUCGACCCCGCCAUCGCCUUCGACGACACGACUGACGAUGAUGACUGGCUGGCAGAGAUUCAGUAGCGGAGCAUCACAGGAGAGAGGAGAGGGAGUAUAGAGCGAAGGACGUGCGGUCUGCUUGCGUGCGUCUGUGCCUAUUCACGCUCUCUCAGCUCCCUUCGCCUGCCCCCGCACGCCGCCUUCCUUCUCCCUUCUCCUUGCCCGUUUCUCUCGCCGCUUCUCUGCAUGUGUGCGUGCGUGUGAGCGUCUCUCAUCGUUUAUCUUCGCUUUCCUCUCUGCCUCACGACGGUGCCCCUGGAUGACGGGGGGACACCUCAGCGCGUGGCGUCAGGGGUCAGCGCCUCACUCUCUGCGGGUGACCCAGGCAGACCCUAACCCUUGCCAGACGCCGAACCGCUUCUGGUGGUGACAGGGUCAGGUGCCUGCGGCGUGGGGAGGCCAGAGCGAUGUAUCGCAACUGAUGUCGGCGCUCAGGUCCUGGAUGGCGUGGCGUCGGAGCGACCUGCGACAGUGCACAGGCUUGUGCCAUCCAUGCGUUGUGCAGAGUGUCUGCGUGACUCAGGCGUGUAUCUCACCCCCGGCCCUCGCAAAUGCUUACUGGUGUGGGGAUCCUGCGCCACCCUAAGAGAGAUGCCCCACGUGGCAACCGGCUCGACGGGGGGGGCGGCUGCGAGGCGGAGGUCGGGCCGAGCUCGACGCAGAGGCCGUACUCCGAUGACUGAGUCGGCGCAUUGCUGUACCGCGCGUGUCCACGGCUGCGUCGCAGCACGCGAUGUGGCCUGUGGCAGGCCGUAUAGAGUGGUGCUCUACUCCCUGCUGUACGGCAGAGAAUGGGCUCGCUGAAACGAACACAGGAGAGCGCAUGCCGGCAGGCUCGUCUGCUUUCUGCGUUCCCUUCCGUCUUCUAUUAUUGCGUUUGGCUGCGUUGAUGCAGAGUGCAUCCAUCAACACACCACCUACGGUGGAAAAAGACG
RNAcentral lists this unclassified non-coding RNA (3364 nucleotides) under Leishmania donovani. RNAcentral's name for it is "gene:LdHU3.30.0480(CDS-product:KU80_protein_putat ive)". Lineage: Eukaryota; Euglenozoa; Kinetoplastea; Trypanosomatida; Trypanosomatidae. The record is from RNAcentral.